AUGCAAGUCGAGCGGGGAAAGGUAGCUUGCUACCUAACUUAGCGGCGGACGGGUGAGUAAUACUUAGGAAUCUGCCUAUUAGUGGGGGACAACAUUUCGAAAGGAAUGCUAAUACCGCAUACGCCCUACGGGGGAAAGCAGGGGAUCUUCGGACCUUGCGCUAAUAGAUGAGCCUAAGUCAGAUUAGCUAGUUGGUGGGGUAAAGGCCUACCAAGGCGACGAUCUGUAACGGGUCUGAGAGGAUGAUCCGUCACACUGGGACUGAGACACGGCCCAGACUCCUACGGGAGGCAGCAGUGGGGAAUAUUGGACAAUGGAUGGAAAUCUGAUCCAGCCAUGCCGCGUGCAGGAAGACGGUCCUAUGGAUUGUAAACUGCUUUUAUAUGGGAGCAAUAAGGUCUUUGCGAAGACUGAUGAGAGUACCAUAUGAAUAAGCAUCGGCUAACUCCGUGCCAGCAGCCGCGGUAAUACGGAGGAUGCGAGCGUUAUCCGGAUUUAUUGGGUUUAAAGGGUGCGUAGGCGGUCUGAUAAGUCAGUGGUGAAAGUUUUCAGCUUAACUGGAAAAAUGCCAUUGAUACUGUCAGGCUAGAAUAUGGUUGCUGUGAGUGGAAUGUGUGGUGUAGCGGUGAAAUGCUUAGAGAUCACACAGAAUAUCGAUUGCGAAGGCAGCUCACAAAGCCAUUAUUGACGCUGAGGCACGAAAGUGUGG
Molecule: ribosomal RNA, 709 nt
Filed under: uncultured bacterium
Lineage: Bacteria
Description: bacterial SSU rRNA
Rfam family: Bacterial small subunit ribosomal RNA
Source: RNAcentral